Molecule: ribosomal RNA, 253 nt
Filed under: uncultured bacterium
Lineage: Bacteria
Description: partial 16S ribosomal RNA
Rfam family: Bacterial small subunit ribosomal RNA
Source: RNAcentral
UACAGAGGUCUCAAGCGUUGUUCGGAUUCAUUGGGCGUAAAGGGUGCGUAGGCGGCGCGGUAAGUCGGGUGUGAAAUCUCGGAGCUUAACUCCGAAACUGCAUUCGAUACUGCCGUGCUUGAGGACUGGAGAGGAGACUGGAAUUUACGGUGUAGCGGUGAAAUGCGUAGAGAUCCGGAGGAACACCGAAGGCGAAGGCAGUGUCCUGGCUGGUGACUGACGCUGAGGUGCGAAAGCUAGGGGAGCGAACGGG